ACGUAGGUGGCAAGCGUUGUCCGGAAUUAUUGGGCGUAAAGCGCGCGCAGGUGGUUAUAUAAGUCUAAUUUUAAAGUUCGGGGCUCAACCCCGUGAUGGAUUGGAAACUGUAUGACUUGAGUACAGUAGAGGUAAGCGGAAUUCCCAGUGUAGCGGGGAAGAGCGUGGAGAUUGGAAGGAACACCAGUGGCGAAGGCGGCUUACUGGGCUGAAACCAACACUGAGGCGCAAAAGCCAGGAGAGCAAACGG
Molecule: ribosomal RNA, 250 nt
Filed under: uncultured prokaryote
Description: partial 16S rRNA
Rfam family: Bacterial small subunit ribosomal RNA
Source: RNAcentral